Rhinopithecus bieti (black snub-nosed monkey) is the source of this 74-nucleotide small nuclear RNA. Lineage: Eukaryota; Metazoa; Chordata; Mammalia; Primates; Cercopithecidae. The record is from Ensembl.
CAACCACAGCGAGGAGAGCAGCAUGGCCUUUGCUCAAGGAUGACAUGCAAAUUGAUGAAGUGUUCCAUAUUUUA